Molecule: small nucleolar RNA, 100 nt
Organism: Dipodomys spectabilis (banner-tailed kangaroo rat)
Lineage: Eukaryota; Metazoa; Chordata; Mammalia; Rodentia; Heteromyidae
Product: small nucleolar RNA U13
Exons: 1
Source: RefSeq, a predicted model, not a curated record
AUCCUUUUCUAGUUCAUGAGCUGGGUUCUCACACGCUUGCGUGAUAUAUGCCUCCCCCUUUUAACCUUGUUACGACGUGGGCACAUUACCUGAUGAGAAA